AACCUGUGAGCUAAUUGGCGGCUAAUUACUGCCGCCGUGCACCCGCCCGUCUGACGCACGGGAUACUCAUUGGAGUCUUGUUAUAUCAGCGGGCGGGAGACCAAUCGGGCGCAGCUCUGCGCCAAGGAACAAACGCAGCAUGGGCGGCAACGGCAUAUCCCAGAGCAUUUGUUUUGCGGAGUUGCCGCUGCUCGUCAAGAAUCAUAGGACUCUCGGCAAUGGAUAUCUUGGCUCUCGCAUCGAUGAAGAGCGCAGCGAAAUGCGAUACGUGGUGCGAAUUGCAGAAUCCCGUGAACCAUCGAGUUUUUGAACGCAAGUUGCGCCCGAAGCCACCUGGCCGAGGGCACGUCCGCCUGGGCGCCAAGCAUUGAAUCGCUCCACCUGGCCGCAACCAUCACCACGGCGUGAUGGUGCUGCCUCGGAUGCGGAGAAUGGCCCGUCAUGCGGCGACGCGUGGCGGGCUGAAGACCGGGAUGAUUUUCUCGCGGCAACGAUCGAUUAAUGGGUGGGAUGGAAGCCUCAUCUGUGCAUCGUUGCCUCGAGAGAGCCGAACAAAUCUCAGGCUAACCCAACUCGAGCGCUGCCGGAAGCAGAUUGAAAUGCGGCCCCAGGAUGGGCGGGGUGACCCGCCGAGUUUAAGCAUAUCAAUAA
This 651-nucleotide ribosomal RNA is filed under the name Pterygodium alatum. Its description in RNAcentral is "eukaryotic LSU rRNA". The stretch from base 208 to 363 matches the Rfam family "5.8S ribosomal RNA". Lineage: Eukaryota; Viridiplantae; Streptophyta; Magnoliopsida; Asparagales; Orchidaceae. The record is from RNAcentral.